Molecule: non-coding RNA, 348 nt
Organism: Momordica charantia (bitter melon)
Lineage: Eukaryota; Viridiplantae; Streptophyta; Magnoliopsida; Cucurbitales; Cucurbitaceae
Source: RefSeq, a predicted model, not a curated record
CGAAUACCACUACCUUUGAUUGAUGGCAGAGUUGUAUCUUUUGUAGUUUGCUACGGCGAUAUCUUUUUCUAUUCUACUUUCAUGGGAGAGAAGCAACAAAGUAAUUUCUUGAUAGUGAGGAAGAUCUACAAGAAUCUCCUCUAACAGAAUCCAAGAGCUAUGAAAUUAUCAGCCUGUCUUGUCUUUUCCUUUAUGUUAGCCUUUGUGUAGUCAUCUAAUGUUCUGUGCUAGUAAUGUACUGUUGUGGUAUUUUAGAAGUUUCAUUAAUGUAACUCUCUAAACCAUUGCCUUGUAAUGCUGCAAGUACCUCAAAUUUCCAUAGUAGGAAAUUGUAGUCAGUUAAUUUUA